CUUUUUAUAGCCGCACCCUCAGCAUAAGGAAUUUCCCAGGUUAGGGGUCGAAUCGGAGCUGUAGCCAGCAGCCUGUGCACAGGUACAACAACGUGGAUCUGAGCCAUCUGCAACCUACGCCACAGCUCACGACAACGCUGGAUCCUUAACCCACUGACCGAGGCCAGGGAUCGAACCCGAGUCCUCAUGGAUACUAGCUAGCGUCGUUAACCGCUGAGCCACGACGGGAACUCCCACAUGGACAUUUACUGAACCACCUCCUAUGACCUGGCUGAACCACAACAACCAGUUAAAAAAACCUGAGCGCUUCUGACAAUCAGAAAACUAGCCAGCUGCUCUCAAGAGAAAGUUAGAAUAUAUACGAUUUUGUUACACUGAGGACUAACCUGUGUGUUUGGUAUUUAAAAUGUUCGGGGAUAAUUUUCUCUAUCAGAACCAACAAAUUCCUUGGUGAUCCCAUUAAAAUGUGCCUCUUAUUUCAAACUUGAGAUUUUAAGCUGAAAGGUUUAAGAGAAUCUGGCUAGGUUUCUAUACAGCAGUGGAAUGCUUAAGAGAAGUUAAGAUUUACUGUAUCCAUAAGUUUAAUUUAUUACAUUAACUACAGAGGAGAAAUCAAAUAUAUUAUAUUUAUAAAUGCAGUAAAAAUGUUUCAAGGAAUUUAAUUAACCAAGUUGUAAACAGGUCUGAUUAUUUAAGGUAGCCUGUCCAACUGGAACACUAAUAAAAGCACCCUUGAAUAGGACUGCUGAAAUACACUGGAUUUAUUAAAAAAAUAAUAAUAAUAAGAUCUAUAAGUGGGGUUCGCAGGCUUAAGGAGAACAAAACUUGCACAUUUUUAAAAAAAUUUUGAAUAAACUGAAUGUUAACCUAAAACCCCAAAUAAAUGUUAAGUCAUCACUUUUAGGGGAAAAGACACCUUAAAGGCCAAAAGAAAACCUCAUAUCAACAAAUGAGAACUUAGGAAAAUGAGAACUUAGGAAUCAUUGUUUUGUUUUGUUUUGUUUUUGCUUUUUAGGGCCGCACCCACAACCUAUGGAAGUUCCCAGGCCAGGGGUCAAAUCAGAGCUAAAGCUGCCAGCCUACACCACAACCAUAGCAAUGCCAAAUCUGAGCCAAAUCUGCAAGCUACACCGUAAGCUUGAGGCAAUGCUGGAUCCUUAACCUACUGAUCGGGCCAGGGAUGGAACCCAAGUCCUCGGAUACCAGUCAGAUUCGCUUCCACUGCGCCACAACAGGAACUUCCAGGCAUCAUUUAAAAUACUACUGAGAAUGUAUCUUUAACGUACAUCUAUUUAUUGGCACAGUGUGGUAGGCGAUGCGAGGCAGGGCCAGGAGACCCUUAGACAAAGGAUUUGAUGUCCAGCUACCUGAGAGCUGGAGGCAGACAGCCCUUGGUGACCAGUCCUUUCAGGGACGUCUCAGGGAUGUCUUCACUGCACAGAGCCUCCUGGCUGAUGGCAUGUCCCCCCCCUCAGAACAGCUCCCGUCCAGAGACAUUUCUAGCAGGUGUAUAAAGGCCUGGCCAGCCAUGUCCAGCUCUGGACCACUUCAAAGGGUCAUCUAGCAUCGAAGCUCCACACAGGGUCAACUGAGGCCACCAAAGCCUAACCUCUCCCUCUGACCCGUCCUACUUCCUUCGGCUCCUCCCACAGAAGCCAAUACCCAGGACACCCCCAAAUAAAUAUGCUGCAGGCUCCGAUGCUUCUGGGAAACUCAAGCUGUACAACAAACUAUGUGCGCCCCCCUCCCAAUGGCUCUGUUAAAUGUUAGUCAAGGUUAAUGCCCUUCUGAGGUUAAUACGUCCAGAGUGAGAAAUAGAGUGAGGAGACCAGAAGCCUGUGAGCCUCUAAGUGUGGCUAACUGGGAGACUGCCUGCUGUGCAGACCGUAACCUACAGGAAGACACUAUCACAGGCUAGGUGAUAUCGGUGUAGCAUUCCGAGACUUCCUUUCACCUCUCACCGUCUCUGACUUAGCUCCCUGCUAGGCGAUUCUGUCCUUAUGUCAUUGCCAUUGACGGCACAGGAGCAAACAUCAGAGUGCCAGCUUCCAAACCUGCAGGGCAGACUUUGACUUCCAAAAGGGGAAUGCAUGUGCUUGUCCCCAGUUCCCUGCACUAAGAACAACUGAAAACCCUGGACAUUAUAUUUGAAAUAAAUGGAAGGAGACUCUCAAGGGUGAAGGGAAGAAGGCAAACAAAUUGGAUGAAUCUCCGGAGAAUUUGGCUGAGUGAAAAAAGCCCCACCUUAGUUCCUGCUGUGGGGUAAGAAUCCGACUGCAGUGGCGGGGUCACUGCAGAGGUGCAGGUUCUAUCCCCAGCCCCUGGCAGCGCGCUGAAGGAUCUGCUGUUGCCACAGCUGUGGCGUAGUUCCUGGGAUUCAAUCCCUGGCCCAGGAACUUCCAUGUGCGGCCAUUUAAAAAAAAAAAAAAGUCCCACCUGAAAAAAGGUUACAUACUAUGGUCCAUUACAUACUCUGUAACAUAUGUAACAUAGACUUACAUAUGUAACACAUGUAACAGGUCCUCCCUAGUCCAGUGGGGGUGUGUUCUGAGCCCCCCAGUGGAUGCCUGAAAUGGCAGGUGAUACCAAAUCCACACAGACUGUGUUCUCCUCCUCCGCUAAUGAGUAGCUAGCAAAUACAGCGUGGACACACUGGACAAAGAGGCCAGGAUGCAACAGGUCAACGAGAAAUUUCAU
This 2697-nucleotide long non-coding RNA is filed under the name Sus scrofa (pig). Its description in RNAcentral is "lncRNA (ENSSSCG00000059906.1)". Lineage: Eukaryota; Metazoa; Chordata; Mammalia; Artiodactyla; Suidae. The record is from RNAcentral.